AGCUCCAAUAGCGUAUAUUAAAGUUGUUGUGGUUAAAAAGCUCGUAGUUGGAUUUCGGCGGGUAUAGGUUGGUUUGAAUUGCUUCAAUACUGACUUUUUUACCCGUGUCUGUUAGAACUGACAGGUUUACUUUGAAAAAAUUAGAGUGCUCAAAGCAAGCUUGAUUGCUUGAAUAUUCGUGCAUGGAAUAAUAGAAUAGGAAGUCGUUUCUAUUUUGUUGGUUUUCGGAAAUCGACUUAAUGAUUAAUAGGGACAGUCGGGGGCAUUUGUAUUCAAACGACAAAAAGCAUUUGCCAAGAAUGUUUUCAUUA
RNAcentral lists this ribosomal RNA (311 nucleotides) under Temora sp. RNAcentral describes it as "partial small subunit ribosomal RNA". It matches the Rfam family "Eukaryotic small subunit ribosomal RNA", at positions 587 to 975 of the family's 1831-position model. The record is from RNAcentral. Lineage: Eukaryota; Metazoa; Arthropoda; Copepoda; Calanoida; Temoridae.